AACGAACGCUGGCGGCAGGCCUAACACAUGCAAGUCGAACGCGUCGCAAGACGAGUGGCAGACGGGUGAGUAACGCGUGGGAACGUACCCUUUGGUUCGGAACAACUCCGGGAAACUGGAGCUAAUACCGGAUAAGCCCUUCGGGGAAGGAUUAUCGCCAGAGGAUCGGCCCGCGUUAGAUUAGCUAGUUGGUGAGGUAAUGGCUCACCAAGGCUGCGAUCUAUAGCUGGUCUGAGAGGAUGAUCAGCCACACUGGGACUGAGACACGGCCCAGACUCUUACGGGAGGCAGCAGUGGGGAAUCUUGGACAAUGGGCGAAAGCCUGAUCCAGCCAUGCCGCGUGAAUGAUGAAGGCCCUAGGGUUGUAAAAUUCUUUCGACGGGGAAGAUAAUGACGGUACCCGUAGAAGAAGCUCCGGCUAACUUCGUG
Molecule: ribosomal RNA, 429 nt
Filed under: uncultured bacterium
Lineage: Bacteria
Description: bacterial SSU rRNA
Rfam family: Bacterial small subunit ribosomal RNA
Source: RNAcentral